CCCGGGUCUUGUACACACCGCCCGUCACACCAUGGGAGUGGGUUUCACCAGAAGUAGGUAGCCUAACCGCAAGGGGGGCGCUUACCACGGUGGGAUUCAUGACUGGGGUG
This 110-nucleotide ribosomal RNA is filed under the name uncultured bacterium. RNAcentral's name for it is "partial 16S ribosomal RNA". It matches the Rfam family "Bacterial small subunit ribosomal RNA", at positions 1373 to 1482 of the family's 1533-position model. The record is from RNAcentral.